This 323-nucleotide ribosomal RNA is filed under the name uncultured fungus. RNAcentral describes it as "bacterial SSU rRNA". It matches the Rfam family "Eukaryotic small subunit ribosomal RNA", at positions 1 to 371 of the family's 1831-position model. The record is from RNAcentral. Lineage: Eukaryota; Fungi.
UAUUCGGCCCUACCUUUGGAUUGCUUGUCUCAAAGAUUAAGCCAUGCAUGUUUAAGUAUAAGCAAUCUAUACAGUGAAACUGCGAAUGGCUCAUUAAAUCAGUUAUCGUUUAGAUAGUACCUUUACUACUUGGAUAACCGUGGUAAUCUAGAGCUAAUACAAUGCUAAACCCCGACUUCGGAAGGGGUGUAUUAUUAGAUAAAACCAAUGCUCGGGCUCCUUGGUGUCAUGAUAACUUAACGAAUCGCAUGGCUUGUGCGGGUUUCUGCCUAUCAACGUCGAUGUAGAGAUUUAAACCUUUUGUAUAGAGAUUUCCCCAAACU